AACAUAUUUUGUCUUUUCUUCAGAAAAAGAAAGAAAACAAGUCUAGCAAAUAGUGGAUAUUCAUCAACAGAAGGGAUAUGCAAAGUCCAUGGCCUGUUCCAAACUUUCCAAAGCAUCUUCUGCUAUGGCAUAUGCUCUGAAACAAAGCAAACAGCCAAGUCUCUGUGGUGGGUUGACCCUGGCAGGACACCAGGUGCCCACCACAGCUGCUCUAUCAUUCUCCUCCUCCUCUACUGGGCAGAGCAGAUAAAAUAUAACAAAAGGCUUGUGGGUCAAGAUAAGGACAGGGAGAGAUCACCCAGUAAUUAUUGGCACAAACAAAACAGACUUGUCUCAGGGGAAUUAAUUAUAUUGCCAAUCCAAUCAGAGUAAGAUAAUGAGAAAUACUUGCUACAGAACAUAAUGCUUGUCCAAUUUUUUUUAAGCCACAUAAAUGAGAAAUAUGACUCUAUAAAACCUUUCUACCUUUUCUUAUAUAAAUUAAGAAACAAGCAAAAAUGUUGUACAUGUUAUACAGUGGUUUCAUGAGGGAACCUACUCUGAUAUAUUUAUGACAUAUGUAUCAUGGGUAGGAUUCCAAAUUUGUUUGUUCUGUCCAGAACUGGUAUGAAGAGUUAAGCAGGUGAGUUCGUGAAAAGAGCUCUAUAUUACUUAUCUGAUGCUAAUGGGAUUUUGAGUUGCAGCUGUGAUCUGGGUUAUCAUUAGAUCUAUGUGACUUAGCUGCAUUUUAUUCUCUGUUUAAAAUUCAUCUAGCAGAGUGAAAUCAGAAAUGUGGUUUCUGUCACACGUAGAGCAAUUACUCAGUACAAAGCCUGUGGAUAGAAAGGUCUGCCGUUCUGUAAAGAAUAGGUAGAAUUUAACAGAAGUUUUUACAACAGUAGCACACUUUCUCUGCUUUGCCCAGCUGCCAUUUAGUACUACAGAAACCUAUAGGUCUAUACAUGUCCAAAUAUUCUGCUUUUUUUUAUGCCAAGCCUCUGCCAAACCCAAACAACUCCUUGCUUAGCUCAUCCUUUUGCCUGAGAGUUGUGGUCUGGAAACCUCUGCCACAAGCUUCUUGGGCUUCAACAUCGAGUGCAGCUGCAGCUGCUACCAGUUGGUAUUCAAGCAGAUGAAAAUAGCAUUGUAAUGAAAGCAUUAACUUGGGGACACAGUACACAUACACCAUGCUGGAAUCCUGAUCUGAGUCCUACCACAUAAGGUUCAAAUUUGUAUCGAUUGCUCAACUGAAAGCACUGUGAAAAUGCACAUGGAAAGUCCUCUAUGUUGCAGAAGGUUUGUUGCAGAUGGAAAUUGCAGUUUUAAAUGGAAAAGCUUCUGUUUUUCACUGUAUAAAACCAAAUAAAGCCCAUCACCGUAACUGAAGUGUUCUCCUG
This 1376-nucleotide long non-coding RNA is filed under the name Cyanistes caeruleus (blue tit). RNAcentral's name for it is "lncRNA (ENSCCEG00000013737.1)". Lineage: Eukaryota; Metazoa; Chordata; Aves; Passeriformes; Paridae. The record is from RNAcentral.